This 2344-nucleotide long non-coding RNA is filed under the name Mastacembelus armatus (zig-zag eel). Its description in RNAcentral is "lncRNA (ENSMAMG00000027047.1)". Lineage: Eukaryota; Metazoa; Chordata; Actinopteri; Synbranchiformes; Mastacembelidae. The record is from RNAcentral.
AGAAGAUGACCGGAAGUCCGUUUUAAGUUUUCGUUGUUUUCCUUUUUUCGGUUAGGCACGUGUUUUGCAGCGGUUUGAGAAGUCGGACUUGAAGUAUUUUAAUCUAAAUUUCAAAAUGUCCAACACUAGGCUUCAGAGUUUUCGUAGUUUUUUAACAGAGCGCUUUACUACUGUGGCUGUUGAGAUAUUUGGAGAAGUACAAACGAUUGUAGAGGCGUACUCCGAGGAAAACAAACGACUGCGGAACAUACUGCACAUGGUCGUCAACCCCGAGAUAAAAUUAUCAAGGAUAGAUGUUGAUCAGUACACUGGAGCAACCACUGUUGUCAGGGAGCAGCCCCCUGAGCUGAACGCUGUGGUGAAACAGGAAAUAUCAGAACCGCUGGCAAAAAAACCUAAAGAAGAACAAAUUGAAUGUGACAUAAGUUGGAAUUCUGAGCAAAAACCUGGGCUGGGGGGAACUGACAACAUGAUUACCCCAGAUUGUGUGAAAGAUGACCUAGAAGAAAGAGAAAUAAACAGAGCCUCCAUUGGUAACCACAUUCGUGUCGUGGAGUACGACUCUGACAAUUCAUCUACUCUGUCAACUGAGGAAACAAAUGAUGAAUGUGAAGACAGUUUCUUGGACUCAAGGUUGGUCACAGAUAGUUUGACUCUAUCCAGGAGUGAAGAAAGCACAACUAAAAGUUGGGAACCUCAUAUGCACAGUACUAGUACACAGACAGAGACAUCAGAUCAUCCCCUGCAGAAAACCAUGCUAGAAUUACCAAGGAUGAUGCCCUGCAAGCCAUUCAUGGCUGUAAUCCCUGACAGCCAGUCCUUCUUGGCAAGAAUCACAGAAGCCUACAAGGAUGUUCCUGAUGACAAUAAGCCACUGAUAACCAAAAUGGGCCUUACAGCUGAUCUGGAAUUGGUGGACUGUGCUUUUGGCAAAGUCCCUAAAGGUUGCCCUCUGUCCUACCAGUGCCCUGUGCCAUCAAGCAAGGAUUACAAGACCUAUGAUGAUGCUCCCCCUCAACCGCUGCUUCCCAUGACUUAUAACAGACUGGAGCCAAUGCCGCCUCUUUCUACCCUGAGUGCCAGCGAGCAGGAACAUGUGAAUGUUAUGCAGAUCACCUGGGAGGAAUCACACAGUCUGGAGCACUCCACACGUGCAUGCAAGAAGACUGUACAGGAGCUUCAGAGACUGCGCUUGACUGGCCGUUUCAAGGAGAUCUGCAAGCUUAAACCAGAACAGAGCAAUGUGGACCAUCUGAUAUCCAAAAUACAGAAGGGAAGCACCAGGUGCAAGAAUACACAGAUAGAGGAGGAAAUGAAAACUGAAGCACUUCGCGAGUACUGUCAGAAUUUGUGUGUCAACUGGUACCCCUGUGGUUUGGUUAUCCACCCUAACGCUCCAUGGUUGGGGGCGGUGCCUGAUGGGUUGGUGUACGACCCUAACGAGAAACAUCGUUUCGGGCUAGUUCAUGUCAAAUGCAUUGGGUUUUCAAGCUUAAUCCAGUGUACAUUCCUGACCUGCCGGGAUGGAGUUUUGCAAUUGAAGACGGGCCACUCGUUGUAUUGGCACAUCCAAGGACAGAUGAUGGUGACAGGCACGUCAUGGUGUGAUCUAUUUGUGUUCUCCAAAGAAGACCUUCUGGUUCAGCGUGUCUACAGAGACACAACCUUAAUUAAAGUCAUGGAAAAGAACUUGCAUGAUUUCUUUUUCCGUCACUACCUCCCACAUCUGUUCAAAACUGAAGUCUCUCCGUGAGUGUGUCAUCGUCCCACCGUGGUCAUACACUACAUGUUGUUCAGCUCAGGUGCUUGAUUUUGUUUUCAUUGAUUUCAAACCAGAAGGAUAUUUGAUGUUUUCUUACUGUGAAAGUUUCACUGGCAUUAUUAAGUCAAAUGAAGUUUUGUUUUGGUUUAUGUACUCUUUCAUUGUUCUGACAGUCAAAGCUGCCCUGUUUCUGGGCUAUAUCUACUUUAAAGAUUAUUUUUUAAAUAGUUUACUCUUCAUCUUCUUGAUUAUUCAAUUAAUAAAAAUUUUGAAAACAUUUAUUUUCAGUGUCAUGCAAGUAAACCAGAAAAUUUGGACCAAGGGAAUACUUGUUUAUGAAUAAAUGAUUGACUACUUAAAAAGUGUAGUGUUGAAUUAAUCAAUUUCCAAUCAAUCAAACAAUUCAGGAGUUUGUUUCCUAAAUCUGAAGCAUUAUUUCUGUUUGGAGCCUCAAACUCCAGCUGUGGUUUAGACAUGGUCUAGACAAUCAUUUUUAUAGAUGCAGUACCUGCAUAUUUAUAGUUGUUGUUAGGAUGAAAUAUUUCCAUGCCCGGCGCCCAUUUGGUUUUAUGAAGGUCAGAA